Molecule: ribosomal RNA, 437 nt
Filed under: Wolbachia pipientis
Lineage: Bacteria; Pseudomonadati; Pseudomonadota; Alphaproteobacteria; Rickettsiales; Anaplasmataceae
Also listed under: 3 other names
Description: bacterial SSU rRNA
Rfam family: Bacterial small subunit ribosomal RNA
Source: RNAcentral
CAUACCUAUUCGAAGGGAUAGGGUCGGUUUGGCCGGAUUUCACACAGGUGUUGCAUGGCUGUCGUCAGCUCGCGUCGUGAGAUGUUGGGUUAAGUCCCGCAACGAGCGCAACCCUCAUCCUUAGUUACCAUCAGGUUAUGCUGGGGACUUUAAGGAAACUGCCAGUGAUAAACUGGAGGAAGGUGGGGAUGAUGUCAAGUCAUCAUGGCCCUUAUGGAGUGGGCUACACACGUGCUACAAUGGUGAUUACAAUGGGCUGCAAGGUCGCAAGGCUGAGCUAAUCCUAAAAAAUCAUCUCAGUUCGGAUUGUUCUCUGCAACCCGAGAGCAUGAAGUUGGAAUUGCUAGUAAUCGUGGAUCAGCAUGCCACGGUGAAUACGUUCUCGGGUCUUGUACACACUGCCCGUCACGCCAUGGGAAUUGGUUUCACUCGAAGCU